RNAcentral lists this unclassified non-coding RNA (403 nucleotides) under Hevea brasiliensis (rubber tree). The record is from RNAcentral. Lineage: Eukaryota; Viridiplantae; Streptophyta; Magnoliopsida; Malpighiales; Euphorbiaceae.
GGAGAUAUUUCAAUAGGAUAGUCCAAGACAAAAGUCGGUUGUAGAAGCUUUGGUUCUACUACCAUCUCAAAGACCUCAUUAAGCAAAUGGCCAACAGAAGAGCAUGCUUCAAUUGAACUCUUAUCCAGAUCACAACCAAGAAUAUCAAUUGCUUUACGAGUAUGUUCUUUAGCAGCUUUAAGAUCGUCCUCGAAGUUUUUAAAAUCAAUCCCUGUAGCUUCUUUCACAAGAUUAUGCAUUGUUUCCCUCCUCCAAGGUCUUUCCAAGCAGAUCUCCACACCCUGGUAAUCAAUUUUAAGCUUCCCAUUAACUGCAAGGGCACAUCGUGUCACAAUCUCUUCUCAAUGGUGGUGAAUUCAGGAUUAUGACGAGUUGAAAUGCCUUCAUUGCGGAAUAUACGGCC